GAAAAGGAUGAAAAGCUUUCGCUUUUCAUCCUUUUAAACAACUUUAAGCAAUGGAUCUCUUGGCUCUCGCAUCGAUGAAGAGCGUAGCAAAUUGCGAUAAUUAGUGCGAUCUGCAUUCUGCGAAUCAUCGAGUUCUUGAACGCACCUUGCACCCUUUGGCUUGUCCUUUGGGUAUGCUUGUUUCAGUACAAUCUACCCCGAGACUGGAGUAUUAUUCUCUUGGUAGAGGUUUGGGAUGUCAAGCGCAAUGCUUCCGCAUCCUUAAGCAUGAAAUCCAUUGGAUUAAAACUCGUGUUUUGUUUCCUUUGCAUCAAUUUUCUUAUGAAAAGCAUUGGGUCAACAACACUGUUAGUAUACAUGUC
This 362-nucleotide unclassified non-coding RNA is filed under the name Syncephalastrum racemosum. RNAcentral's name for it is "sequence contains 18S rRNA gene, ITS1, 5.8S rRNA gene, ITS2, 28S rRNA gene". The stretch from base 40 to 191 matches the Rfam family "5.8S ribosomal RNA". Lineage: Eukaryota; Fungi; Mucoromycota; Mucoromycetes; Mucorales; Syncephalastraceae. The record is from RNAcentral.